Molecule: transfer RNA, 73 nt
Filed under: Trichonephila inaurata madagascariensis
Lineage: Eukaryota; Metazoa; Arthropoda; Arachnida; Araneae; Nephilidae
Rfam family: tRNA
About the family: Transfer RNA (tRNA) molecules are approximately 80 nucleotides in length. Their secondary structure includes four short double-helical elements and three loops (D, anti-codon, and T loops).
Source: Rfam by way of RNAcentral
GUCCCUGUAGCGCAAAGGAUAGCGAGUUGGUUUUCUAAUCCAAAGGUCGUGGAUUCGAAUCCCACCUGGGAUG